Molecule: ribosomal RNA, 199 nt
Filed under: uncultured bacterium
Lineage: Bacteria
Description: partial 16S ribosomal RNA
Rfam family: Bacterial small subunit ribosomal RNA
Source: RNAcentral
ACGCUCGACACCUACGGGAGGCCGCAGUGGGGAAUAUUGCACAAUGGGGGAAACCCUGAUGCAGCGACGCCGCGUGAGCGAAGAAGUAUUUCGGUAUGUAAAGCUCUAUCAGCAGGGAAGAAACUGACGGUACCUGACUAAGAAGCACCGGCUAAAUACGUGCCAGCAGCCGACGGUAAUCUGAGCGGGCUGGCAAGGC